UUCCAUUCUUUUAAAGAAGGAUAACAAAAUAACUAUCUUCCUGCUGAAAUCAAGAAACUGAUGUCCGGAGGAUCCUAAGCUGUCCAGAACUCUGACUGAGUCCGCUGAUAAUUCCUGGACAUCACAGUUUCCAGUUUGUGGUUUCUCUGAAGUGCUGCUGUGAACAUUGCUGUUCACGUCUCCUGGUGCCCAUAUCUGCAAACAUUUCUCAAAAGCAGUGGUUCUUACACUUGGAUGUGCAUCAGAGUCACCUGAAAGGCUUGCUGAAACGCAGGUUGCUGGGCCCCAGCCCUAGAGUUUCUGGCUCAGUAGGUCUGGUGGCUGGAGACUGGCAUUUCUAACAAGUUCCCGUGAUACUGAUGCUGCUGGUCGAGGGACCAUCCCAGGAGCAGAAUUACUGCAUUGUAGGGUCUCAGAUGGAAUCUUCAGUGAUGAGGCCACGUCUGUCCUGGCUCGAUCAAGGAUUUUUGGUUGUAUUGCUUCCAUUAUGACCCAGAGCCCAUUCUCUUGAAUUCCUCCUCUGGUGGAGUCAUGGCUGCAGCCUGGAAAAGAAUCAAAUGCUAAAGUCAAAAGCAGGUAAAAUACUAAACUCAGAUGCUUUUGAAGGACAGAUGAAUUAACAUGAUAAAUAAAUGAAAAUGUCCUAUGUUACUCAGUAAUGCAGUCAGCUGUAUGUAAGAUUACUCAAAAACCACAUUACACAGCAAAUGCAAGAAGCCUGAAACACGGCAUGAGCAGCCGGACUGGAGACGGAGACAGGAGGGAUGAUGACUGCCAGGCAAUCUGCUCUGAAGAGACAGGGCCAUAUUCAGACAUCUGAUGAAAAAGGCCCACGGAGCUGUGCUGCUUUCUGUGUUUCUUCCAGCAACGACUCAAGUCUAUGUCUGGUAGCCCCAGCCCAGUAAGGAGCUGUUUUUCUCCAGAGAUGAUUUUCAUCUUCACUCUGGGAAACCUCAAAGGUAGAUAUCUUCACCAUUACAAGAACAGUUAUAUUUAUAAUUCAAGGAGAGUUGUGAAUACACUUUGCACUACAUAGGCUUUAGAGAUGGUAAAACUGAACUCCAUUCUAAUUUGAAAGUACCUGUAAGUAAACAUUUUUUCCUACAGCACAGCAUUGGCCAUUGCUAAUCAUGUCCCUGCCAGCUUCUAUAACAAUGGAUUUUGGACUCUUCUAAUUUUUAAAAUGUCGGUCCUAGAAUACAGUUAUCAUUUUAAUUCAACAUGUAGGAAAACAAAUGGAUUUUGAGGCUCAGAAGUCAUUGUUUCUUCAUUGUUCAAACCCAAUGCCCAGACUUACACUUGGGUGACAUCACUGUGAUCAGCCAUGUGUGGGAACUAAAACAGCCUCUUCCAGAGCAGAGGUCUGGAGAGAUCACGAUAGAGUCAGCAAUGGUUCUCACAUACCCUCUGAGCACUCACAAACAGCUUGUGAAUGAUCCUGCCAGCAUGUCCUCUUCCUGCACCGGUGACUAACACUUCAGGCUGCUCCAGCAGGCAACUCACAAACCUAGGACAGACAGACAGCCAAUGAAAGGGUGGAAAUGAGCUGUCCAGGCCACUUUGUGUCUAUCCAUCCUCCCACAGGAGUUUUGUGGACAAAUCCUCCCACUCAUACUGGCUAGACGCACCAAGGUUGAAGUGAAAUUUUAUAGCAAGAUAGACUGACAUUUGGAAUUAAUAUCCACUCAAUUGAAAAUCUUCCUGCUUUUUCACCUGUGUUCAUAAAAAUUUUUUCAGGCCUAUCUCUGUCAAAGUGUAAGAAAAAAUAUUCAGUCUAAUUUUUUUACACUAAAAGCUUAGAAAAUGCUACAGUUAAUAAAAGAUGAAAAGAAAUUUGGAUAACAUAAACUAAGUUAUAUUUAUCCAAUAAAAGCAAUGAUCCAUAUUUGUUUU
Sapajus apella (tufted capuchin) is the source of this 1893-nucleotide long non-coding RNA. RefSeq lists it as uncharacterized. NCBI's taxonomy places the organism in Eukaryota, Metazoa, Chordata, Mammalia, Primates, Cebidae. The record is from RefSeq and is a predicted model, not a curated record. The transcript has 5 exons.